Molecule: long non-coding RNA, 214 nt
Organism: Myotis davidii
Lineage: Eukaryota; Metazoa; Chordata; Mammalia; Chiroptera; Vespertilionidae
Exons: 2
Source: RefSeq, a predicted model, not a curated record
AAUAAAAAAAUAAAAUACAAAUACAGCAGUUAUCAGCCACCUCUGCCCACACAGGCGAAUCCUACAGCUUCCCAAUGUUUGGGCUUGUGAGGGUUUUUACAAUAUGGACGAGUUAGUACUUUGAGUAAUAUUUCCAAGUAAGGUAUCAUGCACGGGUCCCAAACAGCCAGAAAAAAACGAAAAGAUAAGAUGAAAUUUGUUGCAAGAGUUUAGU